UCCUCUGUCUGUCUUCCGAGGCUGGGAUUAAAGGCGUGUGCUAGCACCUGCAGUUUCAUCACCCACUCUUAAUCCUCCUCCCACCUCUGCCUGGUUCUGCUCUUUCUCCAGUCCUGCUCGCAUGCAUGUACUUGGGUGUGUGCAUAUAAAUACACGGAGUGAGAUAGAAUUUCAAUGCAAGAUUUUUAAAAAUCUUGAAAAAUUGCAUGAUUUGUAUAGAUAGUCUAGAUUUUUGUAUGUGAGAAAAACAGGUGGAACAUAUCAUUGGGAAUUUACUUUCUGUCAGCUAACAUGAUGGUCUCUGCCCCCAUGCAUUUUCCUGAAAAUGAAUAAAACCCCACUGUGUACGUGCCUUGUGCCCUUCAUCUGCUCGUUUGUGAUGGGCACCUGGGUAAUUGUGUAGCUAAGCUACUGUGAAUAGUGUUUCCGUAAACAUUGGGGUCAGCUACUCUGUGCUGUGUGACUUUGAUUUCUUUAUACGCUUAUAAAGUAUAGGCUCCCGGAUCAUGUUCCAUUUUUCUUCCUUUUAUCACGGGAUGUUCAUAUUGGCUUUCAGAGUGGCUAUGCCAAGCUACAGUCUCACCACAACUGUACGGGGUCUUGCUGUGUAGCCCUGGCUGCUUGGAACCCAUUCUACAGCCCAGGUUUAAAAAGAUCGUCACAAAAGAAGACAGAAACUGCCAGGUGGUGGCACACACCUUUGAUCCUAGCACUCAGGAGGCAGAGGAAGGUGGAUCUCUGUGAGUUCAAAGCCAGCCUGGUCUACGGAGGAG
This is a long non-coding RNA of Mesocricetus auratus (golden hamster), 773 nucleotides long. RefSeq lists it as uncharacterized. Lineage: Eukaryota; Metazoa; Chordata; Mammalia; Rodentia; Cricetidae. The record is from RefSeq and is a predicted model, not a curated record. The transcript is spliced from 3 exons.